RNAcentral lists this unclassified non-coding RNA (338 nucleotides) under soil metagenome. RNAcentral's name for it is "partial contains 5.8S ribosomal RNA, internal transcribed spacer 2, and large subunit ribosomal RNA". The stretch from base 1 to 115 matches the Rfam family "5.8S ribosomal RNA", at positions 35 to 154 of the family's 154-position model. The record is from RNAcentral.
GAUGAAGAACGUAGUGAACCGCGAUAUUUUUUGUGACUUGCAGAUGUGAAUCAUCAAUCUUUGAACGCACAUUGCGCCCGCUAGUAUUCUGGCGGGCAUGCCUGUCCGAGCGUCAUUUCAACCCUCAAGCCCCCGGGCUUGGUGUUGGGGAUCGGCGAGCCUCCGCGCCCGCCGUCCCCUAAAUCUAGUGGCGGUCUCGCUGUAGCUUCCUCUGCGUAGUAGCACACCUCGCACUGGGAAACAGCGCGGCCACGCCGUUAAACCCCCAACUUCUGAACGUUUGACCUCGGAUCAGGUAGGAAUACCCGCUGAACUUAAGCAUAUCAAUAAGCGGAGGA